GUUUAAAACACUUGAGCACACGUGGGCUGGGUGCCGAACUCAAGGGUUCCGGACCGGGAGCUGUGGGCGCGCUAGGCUGUUGCCAGGAGCACAGCACUGUAAGCUUCAAGAGGGUAGGAGCCAUGUGGCCAUCCCUCCAGAAUGCUCCCUUGCCAGAUAGAAAGUUGGUUGUAACCUGGCCAAGCUCCUGCUAUGUCCGAAGAAUAAGGCAGACUGGAGAGGAAAAAUGACCAUAAGAUCUAUAUAAUCAAGUAUAUCAGCAAGACAUACGGGCUGCUCUCCAAGUUCUCCCAGCAUUCAUGCAUCCAGCCGGGAUAUAGCAACAGCUUCAUUCCCACCAAAACAGCAACAGAAGAUACCAAACUCUGUUCCUUCAAUAGGGGAAGUUUGGAAAUUCACAGACUUACUGCCUAUUUUAGCCUCCAAUUUAUCAUUUCCAAAUCAAAGAGAGCUUCAAUUGUAUGCACCACCAAGAAAGGACAAAGAGUUGCCAAUUUAACUACACAACAUGUUAUCAUUUAGGAUUUUCGUGUUUUUGCUUAUUAAAGACUACUUUUAGACUUGGACAUAGAUUUUUUUAUACUAAUAUGCAUAUAUAAAAAAGAAAUAUAAGCAAAUUAAAUUGAGUAAAGUAUUUCUAAAAAUUUUGUACACUAAAUAUAAUUCUGAAUCCCUUUUCAUACAGAACAUCAAUAUGUGUUUUUGCACACAAUACUAAUGACAGGGCAGCAUUUCUUAAAAGAAUUUCCUAGUCUUGUCUCUGGAAUUUGCUUCCUAGCCACUAACACUCAUUCUGCAAGUUUGAUGCUGGGGCCAUCCUGUUUGAUGCCAUUACAAGCUCUGCAAUUUUUUUUUUUUUUAUGUUUAUUCAUUUCCUUUGAGAAAGAGAGAGCAAGCAGAAGCGGGGGAGAGAGAGAGGAAGAGGGA
Leopardus geoffroyi (Geoffroy's cat) is the source of this 927-nucleotide long non-coding RNA. RefSeq lists it as uncharacterized. The record is from RefSeq and is a predicted model, not a curated record. The transcript has 3 exons. NCBI's taxonomy places the organism in Eukaryota, Metazoa, Chordata, Mammalia, Carnivora, Felidae.